AAAUUCUCAAAGUAAAUUUUUUGUUAAUUCAACUGGUUUGCUUUGGACUUGGAGGUUUUUGCAGAUUUCACGUCUGCUCCUCUUAAAUUUAUUAGCUGGAUCUCAGUAUAUGCUUGGUUCCACUCGGCGUGAUAAGUAUCACUCGCUGAGGACACUGUAAAAAGUGGCCAGGAAAUGCAGAUGAACCGCUUCUAACAGUCUAUUAAGUUAGACAAUUAAUUUAUG
Molecule: unclassified non-coding RNA, 225 nt
Filed under: uncultured Ceratobasidiaceae
Lineage: Eukaryota; Fungi; Basidiomycota; Agaricomycetes; Cantharellales; Ceratobasidiaceae
Description: sequence contains ITS2
Source: RNAcentral